ACUCCUACGGGAGGCAGCAGUGGGGAAUAUUGCACAAUGGGCGCAAGCCUGAUGCAGCCAUGCCGCGUGUAUGAAGAAGGCCUUCGGGUUGUAAAGUACUUUCAGCAGUGAGGAAGGCGGAGUCGUUAAUAGCGGCCUCGUUUGACGUUAGCUGCAGAAGAAGCACCGGCUAACUCCGUGCCAGCAGCCGCGGUAAUACGGAGGGUGCGAGCGUUAAUCGGAAUUACUGGGCGUAAAGCGCAUGCAGGUGGUUUGUUAAGUCAGAUGUGAAAGCCCGGGGCUCAACCUCGGAAUUGCAUUUGAAACUGGCAGACUAGAGUACUGUAGAGGGGGGUAGAAUUUCAGGUGUAGCGGUGAAAUGCGUAGAGAUCUGAAGGAAUACCGGUGGCGAAGGCGGCCCCCUGGACAGAUACUGACACUCAGAUGCGAAAGCGUGGGGAGCAAACAGGAUUAGAUACCCUGGUAGCACA
This 470-nucleotide ribosomal RNA is filed under the name uncultured bacterium. Its description in RNAcentral is "bacterial SSU rRNA". It matches the Rfam family "Bacterial small subunit ribosomal RNA", at positions 335 to 797 of the family's 1533-position model. The record is from RNAcentral.